Molecule: long non-coding RNA, 282 nt
Organism: Cynoglossus semilaevis (tongue sole)
Lineage: Eukaryota; Metazoa; Chordata; Actinopteri; Pleuronectiformes; Cynoglossidae
Exons: 3
Source: RefSeq, a predicted model, not a curated record
GUCCGUUCUAUGAGGAAAUCACAACAGCAAAAAGACAACUGUCUUCAACCGGCCUAUGAAAAAGUGUUUGUCCGCCAUCUUGUUUCAUUGGACGAGUCGUAAGGAGGAGCAACGUCCUUUAAAGGUGGAGAAGACAGAUGUUUGGGAUGAGAUGGAAGCAGAAGGUUCACUGUUGUGAUCCUUAAGAUGAACAGAGAAGGGGGGGCAGCAGAAGAAGGAGUUAUAAGAAAUUUCCAUCAUUAUUUUGGAUAGACACUCAGUAAGGUAUUUGUUGUCUUGCAA